GCAGUCCAGGGUCUGGUAUUUGUGAGUCUGUGUUGUGUAAGUUAACAACUGAUCUCUGAGCAUUAGUAGAGGACAUGCUAAGGUUGAAUUCAAGGACAGUCUUAUCCAUAAAACUUACAGACAAACCAUGUAAUGGGACCUGGAAUACAUACAGAUGUUAGUAUGUGCGGAGUUGGAGCACCAUCCCAUACAUCAUAAAACUUCAUCAAAUGACUAUGAAAUUCAUUGUAUCUUCUGAAGAUGAACCAAGACUGGUCCCCAAAAUUCACAACCACUUUGUAGACCUGUAGUGGGAAAACAGAUUUCAUCAGGGACAGCAGGUUAUUUUGAACAAAGCUCAGCCUUUUGGACUUGUUUAUCUUUUUGGAAUGGUCUGUUAUGGCCUCCAAAGUCACAGAGAAACUUUCACUCAUUUUUGUUUCAUAAAGUAUCAGGAAUAUCAGCGAGAGAAAAUUCCGACAAUAUCAAUUAAACAUAAUCCUCCAUAAAAAUAAGUUCAAAGUCUUGAUUAUAAGGAAGCAGAUUAUCUCCCCUCAUGGCUCCCUGUAGGAUGGAAACAAAGUGAAAACUCAGCUUCCUUCGUCACUGGCAAUGAUGUUCUGGAGGCAGAUGCACCUGAUAAUCUUCAGCAGUUAUCCUCCUGUGUCUUCCAAGUAUUGAAAUAAAUUAUUAGUCAAGCUCUCACUGCACCAAAAAAAAAAAAACCAAUCAGCUGAUUCACAAAUGCCCAGAAACUAAGGUAUUUCAGAUUAACCUUUACUCUGACUAAAGUAAAGCUUGAAUGGAUUGCGUUAAAUCAAGUGGUCAGAACACCAGGUAAACAACACAUUGGAGACAGGUUAAUACCUACAGUGACCAGUGCUCCAGCAGAUAAGAAUAGUUAUCCCAGUCCUGACACAACUACCACUCAACAUCUAGGUAUAAACUAAUUAAAUGCUUUGUUCUCAAAUCAGUCACUGAAUGUUACAUUAAUCAACAGAUUUAAUGUCAUUAAGAUUAACAAAGUUCUGUCACCACCUUCAAAAACUAUAGUGGUAAAAAAAAAAAAAACUCCGCUUAGAAGUUGUUGGGGCUGUGAAUGUGUUUGAUAUGAGAAUGAAAUCAAGAGGCUGUGAAUAACAAAAAAAUUCACAAUUUCAAAUUUAUAUUUUGUGCAUUCACUGAUUCAAUCAGAAAUAUCAAAAACUAAACCUAUCAAUAAGAAUCAUUGUUUCUCAAUUCUCAUAGAACAAUUGACAUUCUCUGUCCUCCCCAAAAGUAAAAACAUACCUAUAUUAAAAUCAGAGUUAAAAAAAUUAGUAGUGCCAAACAAUUUUACACAAUAGUUGUCCCUUUCUGUGUCGAGCACUGCCAGCCCCUGACAAUCCAUGGAGUAACAACAUUACAUCAUCAUUGAUUUCUCGAUAUUGUAUAACACCAUAAAUACUUUAAAUCCAUCCAAAGCUUUUAAAGUUAACAAAGGUUGCUUAAAAAAACAAACAAUUCCAUCAGGAAAAAGAUUUAAGACACUGUUUUGCUUUUAUUUUAUUGUAAAGUUCUUAAUCAGGUCAUGACAUGUUCGAUAAAUCUUUUUAGAAGCUGUUCAGUACAGAUGUGGAUAUGCACUUUACAAUAUGUAAUUAACACAGACACCUGUAACAAAUAAUUCUCCAUCAGUCCAACUUCAGAUGAUAUAUCUAUUUUUACUGAUGUGUGCAAAUGAUAUGAUUUUGAUAUUAGUUUCUGUUGAAGGUAUAUACAGAAUAUAUGUUGGACAUUUUAUAUUAAUUCACCAUGGAGUGGAAUUUAACUGUAUAAAAUGUUGGGAAAAACCAACAAAAAUAUUAAUUUUUCACAAUUAGUUGUUAUAUAAUUGAUGAUGAAUGUUAAACAUACUAUGGUAACUGUCGAAGUUGUUGAUAGAUUGGACUAUCUUGGAAUGUUGUUUCAAUUAUAAUUGCAAAUUUUUAUUAACAAAGAAACAUUUUCAUGCCAGGGUAAAAAAAUUUUUUACCACUAUGCAUGGUGUACUUAGUAAAACAAAGGAUUUUAAAAUUUUAAAUGCAGAAACACGAAUAUCUCUUUGAUACUUAUAUUAAUAACUGUAUGUUAUGAGUUACGGAGCUGAAGAAUGGGGACUUCACAAAGGAUACAGAAAAUGUUGUAAAAUAUUCAAAGCACCAGUAACAACGUAGUCUAUUGUGAAAUGGGUAGAUUUCCACAUUCAUUAGAAAGAAAAAGAAGAAAAUUUUGAAAUACUGUAUAAAAUGAAGAAAUAGUGAUAAUGUAUCCCAG
Molecule: long non-coding RNA, 2274 nt
Organism: Ostrea edulis (European flat oyster)
Lineage: Eukaryota; Metazoa; Mollusca; Bivalvia; Ostreida; Ostreidae
Exons: 3
Source: RefSeq, a predicted model, not a curated record